RNAcentral lists this long non-coding RNA (467 nucleotides) under Androctonus crassicauda. The record is from RNAcentral. Lineage: Eukaryota; Metazoa; Arthropoda; Arachnida; Scorpiones; Buthidae.
GCCAGAGGGAGGGGAGGGCUUUUGUUCUGAAGGGUUCUCGUGAGACUGAAGGGUCUGCUGGCUCACAUUCCCCGUGCUUGGUUUUUCAUCCUUUCUUGUUCUUCUCUUCCCUCACCCCGACCUACCCUAUCCUCAUGGAGUUCCCCCUUUGUCAGUUCCAGCCCUGUCCCCUCUGCCUCCCAGCCCCUUCUCCCAAAGAGCUGGAGAGGUGGCUGUACCAGGUGUCAGCCUCUAACUUCUGCACCUAAAGAUCCUGGUAAAAAAUUCUGCUCCUUGCAGCCUAGUCCCCAGCCCCUUUAGUCCCACACACACUCUGGGGGUCUGUGGAGCAGGGGUCCAGGACUUGGCUCUACACUCCCUGCCAGCAUUACGGUGUAGCCAUUUGGGUGAAGACAUGCUUCGUUCUGAGUGUCCUUCCCAUGGCUGGGAUUGGUACUUAAGGCUUCCUUCCGGCUGCCAAAGACCAG